RNAcentral lists this long non-coding RNA (1268 nucleotides) under Apteryx owenii (little spotted kiwi). RNAcentral's name for it is "lncRNA (ENSAOWG00000016385.1)". Lineage: Eukaryota; Metazoa; Chordata; Aves; Apterygiformes; Apterygidae. The record is from RNAcentral.
CUCCAUUUUAAAAAGUCUUUGGGGUGUUAGAUGAGAUCUUUGCAUUAUAUGAUGCUGUUCAUUGAAAUUGCUGGAACAAAUAAGUUCAUGGCAUUUUUAAUAAUUGUCAUGAUUUUGUAUCACAUGCACAUUCUUAGUCCUUUUUUUCCAUUUAGACAGUUAUUGUGAAGUCUGAGUCUCCUCUCUCGCCACUUUUACACUGGUAUGGUGUCUUUUAUUUCAGUGCAGCGGAACUGUAACCAAGAGGCACAUCAGACCCAAGACAUCUUCUUUGCAAGUGAAACUGUGAGGAAUCGGUGUUUCCAAAUGUUGUCAGGAAAAGGUGUGGUAUAGUGCAGAACUUGACAAGAACUGCAGAUGGUAUGUUGAUAUGCUGUCAGGAGGCAGGAUUCAGUUUGCCUGUUAAAAAGAGGUUUAAAAAAAGAUUAAAAGCCAUCGAAAAGGAGCAGUGGAGUUGUCAAGAAAAAGCUGAAAGCUUACGGAAUCCGGGCCAGCGCACAGGCUGAAAUCACAAGUCUGCUGAUCCUACGGAGCCUGACUCAUGUCUCUGCCAACCACUCGCAGCAGCCUUCCCCAGAGGGAGUGAAGAGCUUGAUGGAUGUUGUAGUGCGGRUUAUCAGAGUGCAUGCUAAUGAAACAACAGAUCCAUUACAGUAUUUAGUCAUUUUGCAAGAUCCAAUUACAUGAACUUUGUGAAGUAUAAAAUAGUUUGAUUUUACCCUGUGCUCAUCCUGUAAAUGAUGAUGUCUCUAAAAGAUAUUCCCAUCCUGUCAUUAUUUCCUUGUGCUGAUUCAUCUGGGUUGGAGAUUAUUUAGAGCCAGGAUUUUGAUUCUGCCUUGUUGCUGAUAAUAUUUUUGUAAAUCUGUUUGAUAAUUAUCAUUGGAUAAAACUGAAGAAUGCCUGAGUCUUUGGCUUGCUCGAUGUGACAUGUAAAGUAGAACUUUCUUGCUGUUAGGGAUCAGAAGGCAGGGGRCUGACGUUUGAAUUAUCAUGUGAAAUUACAUUGUCUCUGCUACAUAGCAAUUCAGACCAUGAUUGUGAUAGUCCCUUUCGUCCUUUAAAAAUGAGAAUUUAUGACUCAAAGUGCUGCUUCUCUGUCAGCCACAAAAUUUUUACCAUUAUGCUGUAUCUUAUUUUUAAUGGUAUAAUAUUCUAUCCCUUUUAGUUGCAAGUGUAGUGUUCUGAAUGCAAACUGAUAUACAAUCAUUUUACUGUGUCUGCAAACAGAGAAAAAAGAUGGAACAAAUUAUAUAUUCAGUGGUGGUGGU